AUUGACUAUUCCUGCCUCUCUGGUCGUCUAGACAAUUUAAGAAAGAAUCUGGGGGAAAAUUUUCAAUAUUUGAAAAUCUGUUACAAUGGAAUGGAAACAGAUGAAGAAAUGAUAACCGACCAGCAAUGGAUAUCCCUAUCACAAUCCUGCCCUAACCUUGCCGUGUCUUUGGACGUGUACGCAGAACUAUAUCGUGAGGACACUCUUUCCCCCUACAUACCUCUGGUCAGUCUGACUACAUUGUACCAGGCCAGCAAGGGCCAAUCUGACAUGCUUUCUAUUGCCAUGUUGGCGCUCCAGUAUGAGCAUAAAAUGGAAGAAAUGAAUCUUGGCCAUUACGUCGAGAAUGAUUUGACUGAGAUGUUUAUUCAACAUAUCGAAAAGUUCCAGCGAUUGCGGACGUUUUCUCUGACCAUCCCCAUCAAAACUAGGAAAAACAAACGUUUUUUAAAAGCUUUCUGCGACAUGCUAAAAAGAAACAGUGUAUUGAAGAACGUAACUUUUACUUUCGUGGGUCGGAGAGGCGUUGGCCGGCAACUGCUUGAGGAAAUGGACAGGCUGUUGGUAGACAUGAGAGAAUGGGUGGAGCGGGGCUUGCUCAUCAAAUUCAAUUUGGAUGCAGAACGAUAGAAUGCUUGCUGGUGAUGUAUUAUCUAAUUGUCCUAAUACUCAGUCAUAAAUUCUCAUAAAGUGCUGGUGAUGUAUGAUCUACAUGUGUUGACAGUGAUUCAUAUCUGGCAUAGACAAUUUAUUUUCAAAUCUUUUUUUUUAUUUGAUAAUUGAAAAUAAAAAUAAUUUGAGCAGGAACACUGUUUCCAAAGUGUCUUACUGCUAACAACGCUAACAUCGUCUCUCUGUCAGUAUGUACGUGUGUGUCUCAUCUAACUGGUCUUAUUGCUCCUGUUGAAAAAAAUUUCUAGCAAGUUGGCGGCAACGAACGAAUUGAAAUCGGCUCAGUUUUAAAUGUGUCGUUUAAGGGAGAGUUUUAAAUUUGUCGUUUAAGGGAGAGUUUUAAAUGUGUCGUUUAAGGGAGAGUUUUAAAUUUGUCAUUUAAGGGAGAGUUUUAAAUCUGAGCCAAUUUCAAUUCACAUCGUGAUCACCGCUACUCGCGUGGACCUUUUAAAAAUUCCAUAAUUUUCUUCUCAGAAUCGUACUUUGUUCUAUUUCAAUUGUAUACUGAAAGAAAUUUAAAACAUUUGGCACGAGUAAAUUUCUUUAUGCUAUUUAAAUUAUUACUUAUCAGUGAAUGUAUUGUUCAUCAUAUGCACAUUUUUAUAA
Long non-coding RNA from Physella acuta, 1278 nucleotides. RefSeq lists it as uncharacterized. The record is from RefSeq and is a predicted model, not a curated record. NCBI's taxonomy places the organism in Eukaryota, Metazoa, Mollusca, Gastropoda, Physidae.